RNAcentral lists this ribosomal RNA (448 nucleotides) under uncultured bacterium. RNAcentral describes it as "partial 16S ribosomal RNA". It matches the Rfam family "Bacterial small subunit ribosomal RNA", at positions 29 to 523 of the family's 1533-position model. The record is from RNAcentral.
AACGAACGCUGGCGGCAUGCCUAACACAUGCAAGUCGAACGAAGCCUUCGGGCUUAGUGGCGCACGGGUGCGUAACGCGUGGGAAUCUGCCCUUUGGUUCGGAAUAACAGUGGAAACGACUGCUAAUACCGGAUGAUGACGAAAGUCCAAAGAUUUAUCGCCAGAGGAUGAGCCCGCGUAGGAUUAGCUAGUUGGUGUGGUAAAGGCGCACCAAGGCGACGAUCCUUAGCUGGUCUGAGAGGAUGAUCAGCCACACUGGGACUGAGACACGGCCCGGAAUCCUACGGGAGGCAGCAGUGGGGAAUAUUGGACAAUGGGCGAAAGCCUGAUCCAGCAAUGCCGCGUGAGUGAUGAAGGCCCUAGGGUUGUAAAGCUCUUUUACCCGGGAUGAUAAUGACAGUACCGGGAGAAUAAGCCCCGGUUAACUCCGUGCCAGCAGCCGCCGUAA